UUUUUUGUUUUUUUUUUCUGAACCUUCGCAUUGAAUCUUUGAAGACUUGCCAGGUUAGGUACGGUGGAUGGUUUCUGGGAUGGUUCCCAAUGGUGUCUGCUUCCUGGUACUUAUGGCCUUGCCAGUAAUUCCAUUCCCCAGAGUGUGGGGCAGACCUGGUGACUCAUUUCUAAUGCAGAGCAUAUGCAAAGAGGCCAGGGCUGUCACUUGUAAUAUCAAAUUACAGAAAGACUACGACUUCCACCUUACCCUUAUCUGUUCUCACUUGCUCACUCUGGUCUAAGAAACUGCCUGAUUGUGAGCUGUCCUAUGGAGAAGCUGUCGUCAGAGGAGCGGAGGGAAGCUUCCAACCAAGAGCCAGGGAGAAACAGAGGCUGUCAACCCAACAACCUUUGAGAAACUGAACCCUACCCACAACCACUUAAGUGAGCCAGGGAGCAGUUCCUCUGUGCAGUCAGAUGGCUGCAACCUCAGCUGACACCUCCAUGGCAACCUCCUGAGAAAACCAAGGACCCAGUUCCCUGACCCAUAGACACUGUGAAAUCAUAGAUAUUUGCUGUUUUAACCGGCUAAGUCUGGGGGUCAUUUGUUACAGGGCCAUUGAUAACUGAUACAUUAUACGAUGCCAUUUUUGCAGAUGAGAAAGCUAAAGCUUAGAAAGGUUAAGCAAACCUGCCUGCAUCACACAGCUGGCUGCCCACUGCUUACUGAGACGUGGACUUUAUUUCCCCUUCCUUUCAGCAGCUCCUAUGCCACUCACCCUCACGUUCUUUCCUUCAAGCUCUUGGCUUUAUUGCUCCUUCUGGUCUCAUUCUUUCUCUGCCCCUUGUCCUCUGUUUGCUUGCUUUCUGUCUUCAAUGGGGUUCUUGCCUCAACACCUUCCUUCUGUCAUCUUUCUUCCCCUUCCUGCCUUUCCCAGGACCCCAGAAGCUGAAGCACAGUAUUUACAGAUAAGACGAACUCCAUUAAGCCUUUCAGUUGCUGAUGUUCAAAAAACAUCAACCUAGAAUGACAACUACAUGGCAUCUUAGAAAUAAACUAGUCAAAUGCCCCUGCCUCUGCAGUUCACAUGGGGGGAAAUUCUUGCUACCUGAUGUUAUAGUACAUAAUAAGCAUUUUCUUAUUUAUUAACUUUUGUUCCCAAUACCUAUAAGCUCCAAAAAGUCAAAGACCCAGACUUUUUCACCACUCUUUUCUCCAGGCCUAAAAUAAGUCUUACCCCAGAGUAGGCAGGCAACAAUUAUUUUCCGAAUAUUAAAAUGAGGAAGGGGAGGAGAGAUAAAGACAGAGAACAAAGUUACAAUUUAAUAAACACCUUCUAUGGGCCAGGUAUUUAUUAAGAUUAUUGCACAUAACGAUCACAACAAUUUUAUUNGAUACCCCAAAUGUCCCACAGCAAGUAAAUGAAACCCCAGCCCUUACCCGCUUCUGUCCNUAUGGAAAAUGGGAAUAAUACAUAUACUGAAACUCAUAGGUUUCCUGCGGAAAUCACAUGAGUUAAUAUGUGAGAUACCCCAAAUGUCAGUCCCACAGCAAGUGCUCAUUAAAGCUAAGCCACAAGAAGGAUCAUAGUUGGGGACUUCCCAUUGCAUCUCACAGGUUAAGGACGCUUGUAAUCUCUGUGAGGAUGUGAGUUCAAUCCCUGACCUCGUUCAGUGGGUUAAGGAUUGGGCAUUGCCACAAGCUGCGGCAUAGGUCACAGAUGUGGCUCAGGUCUGGCAUUGCUGCGGCUAUGGCACAGGCUGCAGCUGCAGCUCUAAUUCAACCCCUAGUCCGGGAACUUCCAUAUGCCACAGGUACAGCCCUAAAAAGAAAAAAAAAAAAAAAAAAGAAUUAUCAUAGUUUAUCUUUGAACACCAGCCUCCUCAUCCAGUUAAGCCAGGAUAAAAUGUAAAUGAUUGGCCAAAGGUUAUACAACGAAGCCAGGAGAAAUGAAACCCCAGCCCCUCCCGCUUCUGUCUACCUCACCCUGGACCCCAAAUGGCUUCUGCACAGCUCCUGCCCACCCCAUCCCAAAUCUUUAGCCUCAUAACUUAGCCUCACCUUUCCAAGCUGCCCUAGGUCAUCCUUGAGGUCAUAACCAAGAGUUUCUCUGGGUUGUUCAGUAUUUGCUUCUAAAGGGAGCCUUUUUCAAAGAGAGGAGCACGGAGCCAGAAGAUGGAAGCCCCCAUAAAGAGGGAGGGGUGGGAGAGGGGGGAGAGGAAUGAGCAGGAAGCAAAGGGAAAAGAAAAAAAACAGUAGAAGGAUUUUUCCAGCAGGGCCCUGUCCGUCUCCAUGAAGCUCGAUAUACUCAUUUCCCCAGCAAAAGACUUAUUAGUUGCAGAAUAGAAUGGGGAGCCCACAGUAACGAGUCUUUAAUUACGGAACUCUUUUACCUUAUUGCUUUUGUGUGGUCCCAAUGAAAAUGAGCAGUGGCAGUUUCUAUUAGAAAUGUUAAUUACUUUCCCGGGUAAUUAGACUCACUGGGUACCGCCAGCACCUGACCUCCCUUCAUAAGUGAGAAGAUGGGAGGGAAGGAAAAAAACGGGGGGCGGGGGGACAGCGAGGAGGGGAGGUGGGGUGGAGAGGAGAGAGUUUCUAAAUGCUGAGAAAAGCAAAAUCAUCCAAAUUAGUUGAAGGGAAAAUGAAGUUACAGAGGCCCCCAGGGAAGGGUGGGAAGAUAGGAAGCCUGCUGGAAGGGGCUUGGGAACCAGGGGCCGGGAAGUGGGGUGGGGUACCUGUCAUGAAGAUGGAAACAGGGUGGCUAACCCUCUCCAAGUGAUGGGCCCUUGGAGAGAGCCCCACUCUUACAAGUGAGGCUACUGAGGCGCCAAGCUGCUCAGAGAUGUCCCAAGGUCACACAGCAGGUGGAGGCGGGGCUGAGCCCAGAGCCUUGGUGGGUACUCACUCCUUCCUUCUAGAAGCAUCCGUCGUCCUCAUGAAAAGGGCUGCUUUGACACCUGAAAAACAGAACUGAGAGAGUUCCAGCUCUCAAGGAGUUUCAGGUCUGGGGGUGCAGACAGGUAAAGGAGAUCAUGGCUGUGAAGGAAGCAGGGGGGAGGCUGUGACAAAGAAGAGUAUGAGAGAAAGGAUGUGUGUGUGUGUGUGUGUGUGUGUGUGUGUCACUGGGUCAGUAUGCUGUACAGCAGAAAUGGACACCACACUGUAAAUCAAGUAUACAUUAAUUUAAAAAAAGAAGAAGAACUGGGCAAGAGACCCUCAGUGUAGGUGGAGUGAUCAGGGAGGGCUUCUCUGGGGAGGUGGCUUUUUCCC
This 3252-nucleotide long non-coding RNA is filed under the name Sus scrofa (pig). RNAcentral describes it as "lncRNA (ENSSSCG00030023641.1)". The record is from RNAcentral. Lineage: Eukaryota; Metazoa; Chordata; Mammalia; Artiodactyla; Suidae.